RNAcentral lists this ribosomal RNA (468 nucleotides) under uncultured bacterium. RNAcentral's name for it is "partial 16S ribosomal RNA". It matches the Rfam family "Bacterial small subunit ribosomal RNA", at positions 28 to 507 of the family's 1533-position model. The record is from RNAcentral.
GACGAACGCUGGCGGCGUGCUUAACACAUGCCAGUCGAACGGAAAGGCCCUGCUUUUGUGGGGUGCUCGAGUGGCGAACGGGUGAGUAACACGUGAGUAACCUGCCCUUGACUUUGGGAUAACUUCAGGAAACUGGGGCUAAUACCGGAUAGGAGCUCCUGCUGCAUGGUGGGGGUUGGAAAGUUUCGGCGGUUGGGGAUGGACUCGCGGCUUAUCAGCUUGUUGGUGGGGUAGUGGCUUACCAAGGCGUUGACGGGUAGCCGGCCUGAGAGGGUGACCGGCCACAUUGGGACUGAGAUACGGCCCAGACUCCUACGGGAGGCAGCAGUGGGGAAUAUUGCACAAUGGGCGGAAGCCUGAUGCAGCAACGCCGCGUGCGGGAUGACGGCCUUCGGGUUGUAAACCGCUUUCGCCUGUGACGAAGCGUGAGUGACGGUAAUGGGUAAAGAAGCACCGGCUAACUACGUG